GUACUCACUUCAGCAGCACAUUCACAAAAACUGGAAAGAUACUGAGAAGAUUAGCAUGGUCCACGCACUAGGAUGACACAGAAAUUCAUGAAAUGUUCCACAUUUUC
Molecule: small nuclear RNA, 107 nt
Filed under: Neotoma lepida (desert woodrat)
Lineage: Eukaryota; Metazoa; Chordata; Mammalia; Rodentia; Cricetidae
Source: RNAcentral